UCAGCAUACUGCGGUGAAUACGUUCCCGGGUCUUGUACACACCGCCCGUCACACCAUGGGAGUCGGAAAUGCCCGAAGUCUGUGACCCCAACCCGCAAGGGAGGGAGCAGCCGAAGGCAGGUCGGAUGACUGGGGUGAAGUCGUAACAAGGUAGC
RNAcentral lists this ribosomal RNA (155 nucleotides) under uncultured bacterium. RNAcentral describes it as "partial 16S ribosomal RNA". It matches the Rfam family "Bacterial small subunit ribosomal RNA", at positions 1349 to 1500 of the family's 1533-position model. The record is from RNAcentral.